AUUAAACUGCAUAUUGCAGAGCAUGGUAAAUCCAACUUUCAGUGUUUGAAAACCAGUGUUCUGUAAAUCAUGCAGUCAAUACAAGUGAAACACUUGUGUUUAAUGAGGACUUGCAGAAGCCAUGCUCUGAGUGUGACUUCAUUAAGCUGCAAAUGAUUUCCAGAUUGAGUUAUUGAUCAUCUUUUGCAAGGUCUUGAAACAAACUUCUGCAGAAGAGAUUGAGCCUGAAUCCUCAAAUGUGCUGCGUGCUCGUUUAUGCUAGCCUUUCACCAACCAAUGAUGGAAGGAAAACAACACUGGAAGAAGUUGUCCAUUCAGUUGGCUAUCGGAGUAGCCACAUGCAGAUGCUGGGCCACUGUGGCAUAGACUGGAGAAUGCCUCGAAGGAUCAAGACCAAAAGUCUCCAACUUGCUAUAGCAUGUGAGAAAAAGCUGUCUGUGUUGCAAUACUCAACGCCUCUACAGUUCAGAAACAUACGCAAAGCCACGAUGAACCUCCUGAGCACUGGGACAAUGCAAUGGCAUCAGAUAAGACAAGAGUCUCCAGAAAUGGAAGAGGAGAAAUGGUCUAGCAGCUUGUAUGUGAAAAGUUACAACCUGAGAGGGGAAUUACUUGCAGUUCUUCUUUUCUGUACACACCAAGGGAUGCACCAACAUGCUUCAUAGUAAAAUCCCAACCACAUGCUCCAUACUUUAUUUCUCUGGAUUCAACCAUUUUUCUCAGAUACUGCUGCCACCAGCAUUGCAGCUUCUUAUCUGCAGAAGUUGAAAGAAGGAUUUUGUCACACUAAAGGUUGUCUUCUUAACUAAGCAGUUUCAAGGAUGGCUCGCAGACAGUCAGGUUCAUACCCAUGGAUGUGUUUAGUUGUUUAGCUCAUACAGGGAAACAAACAGGAAGGAAUUUUGAGCUUAAAUAUGGGCUUGAAUCCGGCCUUCUAUCUGGUAUAUCUGAAUGACUUGUCUUUCUACUCAUUGUCAGCUGCGGAUGACAUUGGGAUAAAAGGUGAUCAAAUUUUGUCAGGUGUUAUGUCCUUUAGCUUUGAGGAUUGAAUUAGUCCUAGAAGCACCAUGCAGCUGUUGUCACCUGUUCACUCUGAAGAAGGCGGUUCAUGUGGUCAAAAGAGAAGAAGCAAAAUGCAAAGAGUUUCACAAACCUACUUGUGACAACAUAUCUAGCUUCCACUCCUGGGAAUUGCCCCUACAUGCUCUGAGGAGAAAAACCUGUUCAAAACAAGACUGUAGCCUAGCUCUCCAACUCAGAGAGGGGAGAGGGGUUUGGACCUGCAGUCAUCAGAUAAUGGAACUAUGGGACUGACAUUAAAACUGUGUAAGAAGAAAUAAGAAGGGGUGAAUUUUCCAACAGAUUUUUUUCUUCUCCUCUGUGGAAAGGACUCAAUACAGAGAAACCUGUGUUUGGAUGUAGGUUUUUAAAUUAUUAGCAUCAUUUUUAUAUCUUAAUCCUUCCCCAAAAGAUAAUAUUGAAUGAGCUGUGUACUCUAAGAUGGGAAUUAUUUGGUGAGUGUUUAAGCUAUUUUUCUAAGAAAGCAGAUGUUUGUGGUUAAUUUCUCUGUUCUUGAGAGAAAGAUUAUUGGUCUUACCCAUUCUGCUGGACUCCUUUAAGAACUGUUCCUAGUGCUGGACUCAUUCCUACCUUGGUUCUAGAGCUGCUUUUUUCUUUUCCAUCAGCUCGACCCUUUCUUUAAAGGGUUGACAACCUGUACUUCAAGGGCUGUAGUAGCAAUUCUCUAAGAUUUGCCUUUUAAACUUUUUUUUUUUAUUUUGAGCACAAAAAGAAAGAGAAGAUAUUACUAUAUGAUUAAGGGCCCGUAAUCUGUCAUUUGUGGUGUACUGCCUUGACUGAAGUUAAAUUUAGCAAGACUGCCAACCACAUGACAAUUAUAUAGCUUUAAAAAAAUGCAUGAAAUGCUAGGUUUUAUUUCAAAGGCAAAUAAUUCAUUUAAAGCAGACAUUUUGCCUAAUCUCUCACACAUUUUUUUUAAAAAAGCACAACAUCCCACCUCUGAUCUGUUUUUUUUUUUUUCAAUGUUUCUGAGAUGCACCAUUUAUCUUGAGCCAAAAAGUAGUAAAGCACUCUUGACUUUUAUGCCCUUUACCUUACCCACAGGAACUGCUUUGUCACGUCACUAGCAUUAUAUAGAUCAUUUGUACAGGAGAGGAAGGAACCAAGAAACCAAUGAAUUGUAGCUGCUUUUAAAAAGGAGCUGAAAAUCAAUAAUAAAUUAUCGUUUUCUUUAGCA
This 2257-nucleotide long non-coding RNA is filed under the name Struthio camelus australis. RNAcentral describes it as "lncRNA (ENSSCUG00000017053.1)". Lineage: Eukaryota; Metazoa; Chordata; Aves; Struthioniformes; Struthionidae. The record is from RNAcentral.